RNAcentral lists this long non-coding RNA (971 nucleotides) under Homo sapiens (human). RNAcentral describes it as "non-protein coding lnc-CIT-1:2". The record is from RNAcentral. Lineage: Eukaryota; Metazoa; Chordata; Mammalia; Primates; Hominidae.
GAGCAGGAGCCCCCGGAGCGGCAGGGAAAGGAACGUAGAGCCUGCAUGCUCGGGGUAUGAGCUUACUGCGCUCGCUAGGGUGGCGCGCACUGGGGCUCUAGAAAAGAGGGUUGAGAAGCCCCGGGCAAGUGCCUAGGAAGGUCAGAGGAGUCAGCAAAGUCCACGGAAGAACUUCCCCGGGUUGGAGAGGAAACGCACCCUGGGAGCUGGAAAGAAGAGGAAAGCUAGCCUGGGGGAAGCUUGAUCAGGGCUCUGAGUACCACGAGGAGUGCAGAGGAGGUGCUGAUGAUUGCGGGGAGAGCUCUGAGAGCCCGAGAAAGAUGGGGAAACUGAAGCCCUAGAGGAAAAGAAGACUAAAUGUAUUACCAUCUGACCCACUUCCUGGCCAGCCUGUUCACCUGUCUGCUGUUCUUCAUUGUGGCAGGUGUAUGUGUGAGUUUGCAGCUCAAUCCUGGCCAAGGGGAUCCAAGGACUGCUGAAGAGGCAUGUCUGCACAUGUCACCUAGAACAUCUCCAGCCAUCAUGUGAUCUCUGGGGGAGGCAUUCCCAACUCUCUGAGAGAAGCAGACCAGAAAGAUGGAAAGAAAGCACCUGGCUCCAGGAUGAUGACAUUGAGCCGAUGAAUUAACCACCUUUGUGCUGCUCUAACCUUCAGAGUUCACCUUAACAUGAGAAAAUAAAACCCUUAUUGCUUUGGCAGGUGUAUGUGUGAGUUUGCAGCUCAAUCCUGGCCAAGGGGAUCCAAGGACUGCUGAAGAGGCAUGUCUGCACAUGUCACCUAGAACAUCUCCAGCCAUCAUGUGAUCUCUGGGGGAGGCAUUCCCAACUCUCUGAGAGAAGCAGACCAGAAAGAUGGAAAGAAAGCACCUGGCUCCAGGAUGAUGACAUUGAGCCGAUGAAUUAACCACCUUUGUGCUGCUCUAACCUUCAGAGUUCACCUUAACAUGAGAAAAUAAAACCCUUAUUGCUUA